Molecule: ribosomal RNA, 318 nt
Filed under: uncultured bacterium
Lineage: Bacteria
Description: bacterial SSU rRNA
Rfam family: Bacterial small subunit ribosomal RNA
Source: RNAcentral
GAUGAACGCUAGCUACAGGCUUAACACAUGCAAGUCGAGGGGCAGCAUGAAAGUUUGCUUGCAAACUUUUGAUGGCGACCGGCGCACGGGUGAGUAACGCGUAUGCAACUUGCCUAUCAGAGGGGGAUAACCCGGCGAAAGUCGGACUAAUACCGCAUGAAGCAGGGGCCCCGCAUGGGGAUAUUUGCUAAAGAUUCAUCGCUGAUAGAUAGGCAUGCGUUCCAUUAGGCAGUUGGCGGGGUAACGGCCCACCAAACCGACGAUGGAUAGGGGUUCUGAGAGGAAGGUCCCCCACAUUGGUACUGAGACACGGACCAA